RNAcentral lists this transfer RNA (87 nucleotides) under Myxococcales bacterium SG8_38. RNAcentral describes it as "tRNA-Leu". It matches the Rfam family "tRNA". Rfam says of the family: Transfer RNA (tRNA) molecules are approximately 80 nucleotides in length. Their secondary structure includes four short double-helical elements and three loops (D, anti-codon, and T loops). Further hydrogen bonds mediate the characteristic L-shaped molecular structure. tRNAs have two regions of fundamental functional importance: the anti-codon, which is responsible for specific mRNA codon recognition, and the 3' end, to which the tRNAs corresponding amino acid is attached (by aminoacyl-tRNA synthetases). tRNAs cope with the degeneracy of the genetic code in two manners: having more than one tRNA (with a specific anti-codon) for a particular amino acid; and 'wobble' base-pairing, i.e. permitting non-standard base-pairing at the 3rd anti-codon position. RNAcentral also lists the same sequence under 3 other names. The record is from RNAcentral. Lineage: Bacteria; Pseudomonadati; Myxococcota; Myxococcia; Myxococcales.
GGCCGAGUGGCGGAAUUGGCAGACGCGCCGGACUCAAAAUCCGGUGUCCGCAAGGACGUGUCGGUUCGAGUCCGACCUCGGCUACCA